This 468-nucleotide ribosomal RNA is filed under the name uncultured bacterium. RNAcentral's name for it is "partial 16S ribosomal RNA". It matches the Rfam family "Bacterial small subunit ribosomal RNA", at positions 28 to 507 of the family's 1533-position model. The record is from RNAcentral.
GACGAACGCUGGCGGCGUGCUUAACACAUGCAAGUCGAACGGAAAGGCCCUGCUUUUGUGGGUUGCUCGAGUGGCGAACGGGUGAGUAACACGUGAGUAACCUGCCCUUGACUUUGGGAUAACUUCAGGGAACUGGGGCUAAUACCGGAUAGGAGCUCCUGCUGCAUGGUGGGGGUUGGAAAGUUUCGGCGGUUGGGGAUGGACUCGCGGCUUAUCGGCUUGUUGGUGGGGUAGUGGCUUACCAAGGCUUUGACGGGUAGCCGGCCUGAGAGGGUGACCGGCCACAUUGGGACUGCGAGACGGCCCAGAAGCCUACGGGAGGCAGCAGUGGGGAAUAUUGCACAAUGGGCGGAAGCCUGAUGCAGCAAUGCCGCGUGCGGGAUGACGGCCUACGGGUUGUAAACCGCUUUCGCCUGUGACGAGGCGGGAGUGACGGUAAUGGGUAAAGAAGCACCGGCUAACUACGUG